GAUGAACGCUGGCGGCGUGCUUAACACAUGCAAGUACGAACGGGAAACCUUUUAUUGAAGCUUCGGCAGAUUUAGAUUGUUUCUAGUGGCGGACGGGUGAGUAACGCGUGGGUAACCUGCCUUAUACAGGGGGAUAACAGUCAGAAAUGACUGCUAAUACCGCAUAAGCGCACAGAGCUGCAUGGCUCGGUGUGAAAAACUCCGGUGGUAUAAGAUGGACCCGCGUUGGAUUAGCUAGUUGGUGAGGUAACGGCCCACCAAGGCGACGAUCCAUAGCCGGCCUAAGAGGGUGAACGGCCACAUUGGGACUGAGACACGGCCCAGACUCCUACGGGAGGCAGCAGUGGGGAAUAUUGCACAAUGGGGGAAACCCUGAUGCAGCGACGCCGCGUGAAGGAAGAAGUAUCUCGGUAUGUAAACUUCUAUCAGCAGGGAAGAAAAUGACGGUACCUGACUAAGAAGCCCCGGCUAACUACGUGCCAGCAGCCGCGGUAAU
This 496-nucleotide ribosomal RNA is filed under the name uncultured bacterium. RNAcentral's name for it is "bacterial SSU rRNA". It matches the Rfam family "Bacterial small subunit ribosomal RNA", at positions 28 to 524 of the family's 1533-position model. The record is from RNAcentral.